Absidia glauca is the source of this 71-nucleotide non-coding RNA. Lineage: Eukaryota; Fungi; Mucoromycota; Mucoromycetes; Mucorales; Cunninghamellaceae. The record is from Rfam.
GCCAUGAUAGUUUAGUGGCAGAAUACGCGCUUCCCAAGCGCGUGGCCGGGGUCCGAUUCCCCGUCAUGGCA